Molecule: ribosomal RNA, 305 nt
Filed under: uncultured bacterium
Lineage: Bacteria
Description: partial 16S ribosomal RNA
Rfam family: Bacterial small subunit ribosomal RNA
Source: RNAcentral
ACAGCAGCCGCCACGGUAAUACGUAGGGUGCAAGCGUUAAUCGGAAUUACUGGGCGUAAAGCGUGCGCAGGCGGUUUGUUAAGACAGAUGUGAAAUCCCCGGGCUUAACCUGGGAACUGCAUUUGUGACUGGCAAGCUAGAGUCUGGCAGAGGGGGGUGGAAUUCCGCGUGUAGCAGUGAAAUGCGUAGAUAUGCGGAGGAACACCGAUGGCGAAGGCAGCCCCCUGGGCCAACACUGACGCUCAUGCACGAAAGCGUGGGGAGCAAACAGGAUUAGAUACCCGCGUAGUCCCUGUCUCUUAUAC